UCCGAGAAUCUUUAAUUUCUGAACUAUGAUCUAUCAAAUACCAUAAUAUUAGAUCACGACGAUCAGAUUAUUAUAAAAUUUAAAUUAUUUAAAAUAUUAUAUUAAAUGAGUUGAGCCAUCCCUCCUCCAAAAGGCGCAUGAUGCAUCAAAUUUGGGCCCGUUACAUUACUCCUGUAUAUGCGUCCUGUGUUCCGAGAAACCGGGACCCGCCCCAGUCAUUCACUUGCUGAUACACGAACAAGAUUAAAAAAAGGACUGGUUUUGCCGUGGAGACACUUUCGGAAUAGAGACGUUGUCUCGUCAUCUCAUAAGUUAAUUAUCAAUAAAAUAGAAAACCAACGGCCAACAAGCAG
Molecule: long non-coding RNA, 353 nt
Filed under: Elaeis guineensis (African oil palm)
Lineage: Eukaryota; Viridiplantae; Streptophyta; Magnoliopsida; Arecales; Arecaceae
Description: long non-coding RNA (EGUI_LNC063482)
Source: RNAcentral